UACGUAGGGGGCUAGCGUUGCUCGGAAUUACUGGGCGUAAAGCGUGCGCAGGCGGCUUUGCAAGACAGAUGUGAAAUCCCCGGGCUCAACCUGGGAACUGCAUUUGUGACUGCAAGGCUAGAGUACGGCAGAGGGGGAUGGAAUUCCGCGUGUAGCAGUGAAAUGCGUAGAUAUGCGGAGGAACACCAAUGGCGAAGGCAAUCCCCUGGGCCUGUACUGACGCUCAUGCACGAAAGCGUGGGGAGCAAACAGG
RNAcentral lists this ribosomal RNA (253 nucleotides) under uncultured bacterium. RNAcentral's name for it is "partial 16S ribosomal RNA". It matches the Rfam family "Bacterial small subunit ribosomal RNA", at positions 524 to 776 of the family's 1533-position model. The record is from RNAcentral.